RNAcentral lists this ribosomal RNA (400 nucleotides) under uncultured Geobacteraceae bacterium. RNAcentral's name for it is "bacterial SSU rRNA". It matches the Rfam family "Bacterial small subunit ribosomal RNA", at positions 153 to 530 of the family's 1533-position model. Lineage: Bacteria; Pseudomonadati; Thermodesulfobacteriota; Desulfuromonadia; Geobacterales; Geobacteraceae. The record is from RNAcentral.
GAAAGGGGUGCUAAUACCGGAUAAGCCCACGGGAUCCUCGGAUUYUGCGGGAAAAGGUGGCCUCUAUUUAUAAGCUACCGUAUCAGGAUGGGUCCGCGUACCAUUAGCUAGUUGGUGGGGUAAUGGCCUACCAAGGCGACGAUGGUUAGCUGGUYUGAGAGGAUGAUCAGCCACACUGGAACUGAGACACGGUCCAGACUCCUACGGGAGGCAGCAGUGGGGAAUUUUGCGCAAUGGGGGAAACCCYGACGCAGCAACGCCGCGUGAGUGAUGAAGGCUUUCGGGUCGUAAAGCUCUGUCAGAGGGGAAGAAAUGAGACUGGCUAAUAUCCAGUUUUCUUGACGGUACCCUCAAAKGAAGCACCGGCUAACUCCGUGCCAGCAGCCGSGGKAAUWCAAGG